GAUGAAGAACGCAGCGAAAUGCGAUAAGUAAUGAGAAUUGCAGAAUUCAGUGGAUCAUCGAAUCUUUGAACGCACAUUGCGCCCCUUGGUAUUCCAUGGGGCAUGCCUGUUCGAGCGUCAUUUGUACCUUCAAGCUCUGCUUGGUGUUGGGUGUUUGUCUCGCCUCUGCGUGUAGACUCGCCUCAAAACAAUUGGCAGCCGGCGUAUUGAUUUCGGAGCGCAGUACAUCUCGCGCUUUGCACUCAUAACGACGACGUCCAAAAGUACAUUUUUACACUCUUGACCUCGGAUCAGGUAGGGAUACCCGCUGAACUUAAGCAUAUCAAUAAGCGGAGGA
RNAcentral lists this unclassified non-coding RNA (337 nucleotides) under soil metagenome. RNAcentral describes it as "partial contains 5.8S ribosomal RNA, internal transcribed spacer 2, and large subunit ribosomal RNA". The stretch from base 1 to 120 matches the Rfam family "5.8S ribosomal RNA", at positions 35 to 154 of the family's 154-position model. The record is from RNAcentral.